GGAUGCCGAUUAUACCAGCACUAAAACAUC
Molecule: ribosomal RNA, 30 nt
Filed under: Hordeum vulgare
Lineage: Eukaryota; Viridiplantae; Streptophyta; Magnoliopsida; Poales; Poaceae
Source: RNAcentral